This 49-nucleotide transfer RNA is filed under the name Aulacoseira subarctica. Its description in RNAcentral is "partial Selenocysteine transfer RNA". The record is from RNAcentral. Lineage: Eukaryota; Bacillariophyta; Melosirophyceae; Melosirales; Aulacoseiraceae.
CAGAUCUGGGGCGCCCUAGUUCGGCAGUGGCGGGUUCGAUUCCUCUUUU